RNAcentral lists this ribosomal RNA (274 nucleotides) under uncultured bacterium. RNAcentral describes it as "partial 16S ribosomal RNA". It matches the Rfam family "Bacterial small subunit ribosomal RNA", at positions 523 to 796 of the family's 1533-position model. The record is from RNAcentral.
AUACGGAGGGUGCAAGCGUUGUUCGGAAUCACUGGGCGUAAAGGGCGCGCAGGCGGUUUGGUAAGUCAGAUGUGAAAGCCCACGGCUCAACCGUGGAAGUGUGUUUGAAACUGUCAGACUUGAGUACUAGAGGGGAAAGUGGAAUUCCCGGUGUAGAGGUGAAAUUCGUAGAUAUCGGGAGGAAUACCGGUGGCGAAGGCGACUUUCUGGCUAGAUACUGACGCUGAGGCGCGAAAGCGUGGGGAGCAAACAGGAUUAGAUACCCUAGUAGUCC